Molecule: long non-coding RNA, 2115 nt
Organism: Equus caballus (horse)
Lineage: Eukaryota; Metazoa; Chordata; Mammalia; Perissodactyla; Equidae
Source: Ensembl
GCAGUGGUUGCAGUGCAGCCUGCUAUGUCCCUGAAUGUGGAUGCUGUGAACAUGCAGUGGAUGCAGUGAUCCUGCAGUGAUUGCAGUGUGCCUGCAUUUCCUCAAAGCUGGUAGCAGUGUUGCUGCAGUGGUUGCAGUGCCGCCUUCUGUGUCCCUGAAGUUGAAUGCAGUGCCCAUGCAGUGGAGGCAGUGUACCUAAAGGUUUAUGCAGUAUCUUGUGAUGGAGGAUGCAGUGUGCAUGAAGGUGGAUGCAGUGUCCCUGCAGUGGUUGCAGGGCCUCCGGCAUUGUGCUGGAAUGUGGAUGCAGGGGUCAUGCAGUGGAUACAGUGUCUCACAAGGCAGAUGCAGUAUGUUUUGUCAUAGGAUUCAGUGCCCAUGAAGGAUGAUGCAGUGAUCAUGAAGAUAUUGCAGUGCACCUGCAGUGCCAAUUCAUCAGGAUGCAGUGUCCCUGCAGUGGUUGCAGUGUCACCUGCAUUGUCCCAGAAUGUGGAUGCAGUGCCCAGUCUUUACAUGCAGUGUCCCACAAGGUGCAUGCAGAAUGUUGUGACGGAGGAUGCAUUGCCCAUGAUGGUGGAUGCAGUUAUCCAGCACUGGUUUCAGUGCACCCUGAUGUGUCUCUGAAUGUGGAUGCAGUGUCCAUGCAGUGCAUGCAGUGUCCCACAAGGUGGAUGAGGUAUGCUGUGACGGAGGAUGCAGUGCCCACGAAGGUGGAUGCAAUAUGUUGUGAUGGAGGAUGCAGGGCCCUUGAAGGUGGAUGCAGUGAUGCUGCAGUGGUUGCAACGCCUCCUACAGUUCCCUGAAUGUGGAUGCAGUGCCCAUGCAGUAGUUGAAGUGUCCCAAAAGGUGGAUGUCGUAUGUUGUGAUGGAAGACACAGUGCCCAUGGAGGUGGAUGCAGUGAGCCUGUGCUGAACGCACUGCGCCUUCAGUGCGACUUAAGCUGUAUGCAGUGUCCCUGAAGUGGUUGCAGUGCCCAAUGCAUUGUCCGAGAACGUGGAAGCAGUGCCCAGGCAUUGGAUGCAGUGUGCCACAAGGUGCAUGCAGUAGGUUGUGACAGAGGAUGCAGUGUCCAUGAGGGUGGGUGCAGUGAUCUGGCAGCAGUUGCAGUGCACCCUGCUGUGUCCCUGAAUGUGCAUGCUCUGAACAUGCAGUGGAUGCAGUGAUCCUGCAGUGAUUGCAGUGCGCCUGCCUUUCCACAUCAGCUGGAAGCACUGUCCAUGCAGGGAUUGCAGUGCCAUCUUCUGUGUCACUGAAGGUGAAUGCAGUGCCCAUGCAGUGGAUGCAGUGUACCUAAAGGUUUAUGCAGUAUGUUGUGACAAAGGAUGCAGUGCCCAUGAAGGGGGAUGCUGUGUCCCUCCAGUGUUUGCCGUGCGCCCCACAUUGUCCGGGAAUGUGGAUGCAGUAGUCAUGCAGUGGAUGCACUCUCCCACAAGGUGAAUGCAGUAUGUUGUGAAGGAGGAUGUAGGGCUCAUGAAGGUGGAUGUAGAGUUGCUGCAGUGGUUGCAGUGCCCCCUACAGUUCCCUGAAUGUGGAUGCAGUGCCCAUGCAGUAGUUGCAUUGUCCCAUAAGGUUGAUGUUUUAUGUUGUUAUGGAAGAUGCCGUGGCCACGAAGGUGGAUCUACUGAGCCUUCAGUGAUUGCAGUACGCCUUCAUUGCCACUUCAGCUGAAGUCAGUGUCCCUGCAGUGGUUGCAAUGUCCCCUGCAUUGUCCGGGAUUUUCGAUGCAGUGCCCAGGCCUUGGAUGCAGUGUCCCACAAGGUGCAUGCAGUAUGUUGUGACGGAGGAUGCAGUCCCCAUGAAGGUGGAUGCAGUGUCCCUGCAGUGCUUGCAGUGCCAAUGGCAUUGUCCUGGAAUAUUGAUGCAGUGCCACAGCAGUGGAUGCAGUUAAAGUUCAGUGAUUGAGGUUCGCCUGCCAUGCCACUUCACCUGGAUGCAUUGUAGCUGCAGUGGUUGCAGAGACCCUUGUCAUGUCUCUGAAUGUGGAUGAAGUGCCCAUGCAGUGUCUGCAGUGGGACCCAAGGUGGAUGCUGUAUGUUGUGAAGUAGGAUUCAGUGCCCAUGAAGGACGAUGCAGUGAUCCUGCAGUCAUUGCAGGGCACCUGAAGUGCCACUUCAUCA